GAUGAACGCUGGCGGCAGGCCUAACACAUGCAAGUCGAGCGAACGGACGAGGAUUUUGCUUGUCUGAGGGUAGCGGCGGGCGGGUGAGUAAUAUGUGUAUAACCGACUUAGAAGACUGAGAUAACUACGGGAAACCGGAUCUAGCAUCCGAAAAUAUCUUGAACCGCAUGGCUCAAAAGUGAAAGACGGUCUUGCUGUUCCUUAUAGAUCGAACCGCGCUGCAUUAGCUAGGUGGUAUGGUAACGGCUUACCAAGGCUACGAUGCAUAGCGGAUCCGAUAGGGUGAUCAGCCACCCUGGAACUGAGACACGGUCCAGACUCCUACGGGAGGCCGCAGUAGGGAAUAUUGCGCAAUGGGCGAAAGCCUGAUCUAGCAAAGCCGCGUGAGUUCUGAAGGUCUUCGGAUCGUAGAGCGCUGUUAGUCGGGAGGAAGAUAAGUGUGUUUAGCUGUGCACAUCUUGACGGUACCAACAGAAGAAGCCCCGGCUAACUUCGUG
Molecule: ribosomal RNA, 497 nt
Filed under: uncultured bacterium
Lineage: Bacteria
Description: partial 16S ribosomal RNA
Rfam family: Bacterial small subunit ribosomal RNA
Source: RNAcentral